CCUACGGGCGGCAGCAGUGGGGAAUAUUGGACAAUGGGCGAAAGCCUGAUCCAGCCAUGCCGCGUGUGUGAAGAAGGCCUUCGGGUUGUAAAGCACUUUCAGUGGGGAAGAAAGCCUUGGGGCUAAUACCCUCGAGGAAGGACAUCACCCACAGAAGAGGCCCCGGCUAACUCCGUGCCAGCAGCCGCGGUAAUACGGAGGGUGCGAGCGUUAAUCGGAAUUACUGGGCGUAAAGCGCGCGUAGGCGGUCUGAUAAGCCGGUUGUGAAAGCCCCGGGCUCAACCUGGGAACGGCAUCCGGAACUGUCAGGCUAGAGUGCAGGAGAGGAAGGUAGAAUUCCCGGUGUAGCGGUGAAAUGCGUAGAGAUCGGGAGGAAUACCAGUGGCGAAGGCGGCCUUCUGGACUGACACUGACGCUGAGGUGCGAAAGCGUGGGUAGCAAACAGGAUUAGAUACCCCGGUCGUC
This 465-nucleotide ribosomal RNA is filed under the name Vreelandella stevensii. Its description in RNAcentral is "partial 16S ribosomal RNA". It matches the Rfam family "Bacterial small subunit ribosomal RNA", at positions 338 to 795 of the family's 1533-position model. Lineage: Bacteria; Pseudomonadati; Pseudomonadota; Gammaproteobacteria; Oceanospirillales; Halomonadaceae. The record is from RNAcentral.